GAAGGGUACGCGGUUUGUUUAGUGUUUAAAUGAAACAUUUUGUUUGAUUCGCGUUCGAUGUAACGUAUUUUUCAUCUGUCCUAGAGUUAGAAAAGUAAGGAGCUGCUCUGAGGUUUGAAUAUUUUAAGUAGGAAGUGGCAUAAUGGCAAUUUAGGAUGUAGCUGACGGCCAACGAAGAGCUUUCCAUCUUUAACUUAACCAAAGAAUCCUCAUGCCUAAUAUAAUGAGCUUGCGAGAGUCUGGGUCAGCAAGAUUAUAUUAAUUAGCACGAGAAUGGAACUUUGCUAUGUUGAGAACACCUUCAUAAGGUAAAAUAAUGUUGGAAUAAAGUUAUGGUGAAAAAAUAAA
Long non-coding RNA from Manduca sexta (tobacco hornworm), 348 nucleotides. RefSeq lists it as uncharacterized. Lineage: Eukaryota; Metazoa; Arthropoda; Insecta; Lepidoptera; Sphingidae. The record is from RefSeq and is a predicted model, not a curated record. The transcript has 2 exons.